Molecule: long non-coding RNA, 220 nt
Filed under: Nicotiana benthamiana
Lineage: Eukaryota; Viridiplantae; Streptophyta; Magnoliopsida; Solanales; Solanaceae
Description: long non-coding RNA (NBEN_LNC026355)
Source: RNAcentral
GAGAACAUGAUGAUCCUUCUAAUGAUUCUGAUUCUCCUCUUCCUUCAUCUCCUUCUGAUUCUGCUUCACCUGUCAAUCUACCUUCUUCUGCUCCACUCAGUUCUCCUGUCUUGGAUACUACUUCUGUUCCAGCUCCUAGAAAAUCUAGCAGACCUCAUAAUCCCCCUUCCUACCUUAUGGAUUAUGUGUGCCAACUUCCUGCCUUCUCUGGCUCUUCUUC